RNAcentral lists this ribosomal RNA (288 nucleotides) under uncultured bacterium. RNAcentral describes it as "partial 16S ribosomal RNA". It matches the Rfam family "Bacterial small subunit ribosomal RNA", at positions 773 to 1060 of the family's 1533-position model. The record is from RNAcentral.
GUGGAUUAGAUACCCUGGUAGUCCACGCUGUAAACGAUGUCGACUUGGAGGUUGUUCCCUUGAGGAGUGGCUUCCGGAGCUAACGCGUUAAGUCGACCGCCUGGGGAGUACGGCCGCAAGGUUAAAACUCAAAUGAAAUGACGGGGGCCCGCACAAGCGGUGGAGCAUGUGGUUUAAUUCGAUGCAACGCGAAGAACCUUACCUACUCUUGACAUCCACGGAAUUUGGCAGAGAUGCCUUAGUGCCUUCGGGAACCGUGAGACAGGUGCUGCACGGUCGUCGUCAACU